CGACUACGGGAACGAAGGAAGGAGAGGAGAUUUGAUCUCACUCGCCCGCUUAAGGAUUCCACCUCGCCUCCGAGGCAUCCCGGAAGGCCUUGACGGCUCCGUUGCCGAGAGAACCCGAGGCUACCCUUGUUUCCCCGAGAGUCUCUGAAGUCUGCCGAUUCACCUCUUCCUGAGCCAAUGCAACUAGGCAGAGCUAGGCUGUCUCCAGCCGAACGGCUAUACAGGCAUCACACUAAGAGUUGCCUGUAUUGCGGGACUACUGGUCAUUUUGUCUCCACCUGUCCACUAAAAGACUAGGCUCACUGGUAGGAGUGAGUACUCUGGGGGGCCAUACAGAGAACUUUUCCUCUCUCCUUACUCGCACCCCUUUUCAUGUUAUUUUGCUUUGGGGGAAACAGUCGAAAUCUCUCCAGGUACUCAUCGACGCUACCCUGGCAUCCGAACUGGGCAUCCCCAUUAAGCCCCUCUCCAUUCCCAUGGAUGUUAGAGUACUGGACGGGCGCGCUAUAGGCUGUGUCACCCACAAUACCACCCCCUUCAACCUACGUGGGUCAGGGAACCACAGCGAGACCAUCCAAUUCCUAAGUCUUCUCAGGUUCCCAUGGUAUUGGGAUUCUCUUGGCUCCAGCGACACAAUCCCCUUAUUGACUGGUCUGCUGUGCCAUCAUGGGCUGGAACCCGUUCUGCCACGCUCAUUGCCUGAAGUCAGUGCAGCCUGCCCCAGGACGUCUUCCUGGGGGCUCGGCAGUCGCCCCGGACCUCUCCACUAUUUCCGCGGAGUACCAGGACCUCCAGGAGGUGUUCAGUGAGACCCGGGCCCCUUCGCUUCCGCCGCACCGACCCUAUGACUGCGGGAUUGACCUUCUCCCAGGCACCACUCCGCCCCGGGGACGACUGUACUCUCUGUCGGGUCCAGAGACCAAGGCUAUGGUGGCCUACAUUGAGGACUCCCUAGCUGCAGGGUUCUUCCGUCCUUCUGCCUCCCCCGCUGGCACAGGGUUCUUCUUUAAGGAGAAGAAGGACAAAACCCUGCGCCUGUGCAUCGACUACCGGGGCCUCAACAACAUCACUGUGAAGAACGCUAUCCGCUACCACUCAUCUCCUGGUCCUUUGAGCCACUCCAGGGGGCCACCGUGUUCUCCAAGCUGGACCUAUGGAACGCCUACCACCUGGUGCGGAUAUGGGAAGGGGACGAGUGGAAGACUGCCUUCAACAUGGCCAGCGGUCACUACGAGUAUCUGGUCAUGACAUUUGGCCUUACCAAAACCUCAGCUGUGUUCCAGGCUCUGGUUAAUGAUGUUCUCCGCCAAAUGUUGAACCGGUUCGUCUUAGUCUACCUCGACGACAUCUGCGUCUUCUCCCACUCCGCCCAAGAACACGUGCGCCAUGUCUGACAGGUUCUCCAAGUUUGUGGGACUCCACCUGGAGGGGCAUAUCCUGGGUGGACAGCCAUACCCGGGGUGCCGGGCUCCGGUGGCGGUUCGCUUGUUGUCAAUACCUGGAGGUGGUCUUGAGAAGAGCCAACCGGGCUCUCUUCCAGGAACGAUGACAGCGGCGGACAAACAUCUGGCCGAAUGUAUGCCGACCUCUUCCUCAGGGAAGAGCAAGGGCCGAUAACCCAGGGAACACUCAAAGGGCGAGAGACCCUUGGCAGAGCAAGGAAGGUUGCUAUCUAUUGUGCUUGAGGCCAUUUCACAGCCGCCAUUCAGGCCACUGGAAAGCAUGGAAAUUAGAUGUCUCUAAUAAAUGACCACUUUACAUAUAGCCAGUAAGACUAGCUGUCACCAUUGGCGUCGGCUAAUGGGGAUCCUAAUAAAUAAAAGUAUUUCCGUAAUCUCUUGGGCCAACGCCCUGCCCAGGAAGGCCCAUUUCCUGCCAGCGUCUAUCCCACUGGAUAGUGGGCUAUUAUACUGGCGUAUAAAAGCAAAGUUUAUCACCCUCGGAGGGCUUGAGAGCUCACUCCACUAGAGGUAUGGCGGCGUCAUGGGCAAUGUUCAAGGGCAUCUCUGUUCAAGAGAUUUGUAAUGUGGAACGUUGGCCUACCCCCCCAUACCUUCAUGAGGUUCUACCGACUGGUUGUCACUGCACCCUCAUUGGUGCAUACAGAUCUCAAUGUCAGGGCCCCUGAGGGGUGAUUCCGUCUAGACUACCUAGCUUUGGAGAGUAUACGAGUGCUACAGGAGUUGGCUAUAUCCCCAUAGUGAGAGACCAAAACAAAUAUUUGAAAGAGAACUUAAGGUUACUAACGUAACCUCGGUUCUCUGAUAAUAUGAAUGAGGUCCCUCACCGCGUUUCACUUCAUAUUGUGCGUAAGGAAGAAGACAUACUUGAUAAUGAAGUUGGAAGACGGGACCGUGGCGCCUGAUAAGGAGUGGGUUCCCCACUAUUCACAUAUCCCGUAGUGAGUGACCUCACUCAUAUUAUCAGAGAACCGGGGUUACACAAGUACUGUAACCUUAGGUUAUUAUACUCAAAUGUGGAUAAAUGCACGGCUUCUUUUGACCAAUAUCCUGGGCCCAGUUUAAAAAAAAAUCUUAAUCUGGAUCAGAAUGAUUUUUUUGCUGUCCAGAAUCAGAUCGGUCUUUUUUUUAGCAAGUUCUUCAGAAAAUAAGUGGAUAGGAACAUUUUGAUCCCGAUAUUACAAUAUAAAGGUCACAGAUCUGGAUUUUCAGUGUGUUUUUUAAACCUCCCACCUUAGUUACAUUGACAUUGUUUGGUUGUAGUGCCUUUCAAGAGAGUAGAGGCUUUAGAAACAUUUGCGGUGGACGAUAGACGGGCCGGAUUCCUCAUAUUCCUGCUUGGAAAUCCACAUCUGUUGGAAGGUGGAGAGAGAGGCCAGGAUGGAGCCACCGAUCCACACAGAGUAUUUACGCUCAGGAGGGGCGAUGAUCUUAAUCUUAAUCUUCCAACCUGAAUCCACCCUUCCAGUAGAAUCAAGAUCAUCCAGAUUAUUUCAGCCUCAAAACUAUCCUAAUCGCUACCUUUUUGAAUUUUGAAAAACGCAACUACAACAUUUAAUCUUUAUUAAAGUUGAGAUUGUAUUAGCAAAUCCGAAUGUUCCUAAUCUAAUUCUUCAGUUUCGAAAAAUCCAAAUCUAAGAUUUAUCUGAUUUCUUUGAUUGGAUUUUAGCAAUGUUUUUAAAAACUGGGCACGGGGCUGACCACCCACUACUGACCACCCAGUGAGCACAACUGGUUGUGUCUUCCACUGCUCACUGGGCACCAACCAUUGGAUUGGUGGAGGCAUGGCCUAGUGGGGGUUUCCACCAUAUUUCUUAUACCAGUCAUUUCCUUUCAAAUCAGGGAAGUAAACAAGUUCACACUUUGGGAGGAAGGAGAGAUCAUUUUGCAUAUAUAGUGAUGUGGACACCCCUUCAAAUUAGUGGAUUCUACUAUUUCAGCCACAUCCGUGGUGUAUAAAAUAGAGCACACAUCCAUGCAAUCUCCAUAGACAAACAUUGGCAGUAGAAUGGCCUUACUGAAGAGCUCAGUGACUUUCAACAUGGCACUGUCAUAGGAUGCCACCUUUCUAACAAGUCAGUUUAUCACAUUUCUGCCCUGCUAGAGCUGCCCCGGUCAACUCGAAGUGCUGUUAUUGUGAAGUGGAAAUGUCUAGGAGCAACAACGGUUCAGCCACAAAGUGGUAGGCCACACAAGCUCACAGAACAGGACCUUCGAGUGCUGAAGUGCGUAGCGUGUGCAACACUCAUUACCAUGUUCCAAAUGGCUCUGGAAGCAACGUCAGCACAAUAACUGUUCGUCAGGAGCUUCAUGUAAUGGGUUUCCAUGGCCGAGCAGAGGUACACAAGCUUAAGAUCACCAUGCACAAUACCAAGCGUCGGCUGGAGUGGUGUAAAAGUCGCUGCCAUUGGACUCUGGAGCAGUGGAAAUGCAUUCUCUGGAGUGAGGAAUCACGCUUCACCAUCUGUCAGUACGACAGACGAAUCUGGGUUUAGCGGAUGCCAGGAGAACGCUACCUGCCCGAUUGCAUAGUGCCAACUGUAAAGUUUAGUGUAGGAGGAAUAAUGGCCAGGGGCUGUUUUUCAUGGUUCGGGCUAGGCCCCUUUGUUCCAGUUGAGGGAAAUCUUAACGCUACAGCAUACAAUUACAUUCUAGACAAUUCUAUGAUUCCAACUUUGUGGCAACAGUUUGGGGAAGGCCCUUUUCUGUUUCAGCAUGACAAUUCCCCCGUGCACAAAGCAAGGUCCAUACAGAAAUGGUUUGUCGAGAUUGGUGUGGAAUAACUUGACUGGCCUGCAUAGAGCCCUGACCUCAACCCAUCGAACACCUUUGAGAUGAAUUGGAACGCAGACUGCAGACAUCACCUCAACCUCACUAAUGCUUUUGUGGCUGAAUGCUGCAGGGACUUGCUUCCAAUGUUCCAACAUCUAGUGGAAAGACUUCCCAGAAGAGUGGAGGCUGUUAUAGCAGCAAAGGGGGGACCAACUCCAUAUUAAUGCCCAUGAUUUUGGAAUGAGAUGUUUGACGAGCAGGUGUCCACAUACUUUUGGUCAUGUAGUGUAAUUGUAAGAGUAAGAUAAGAGUAAUUCGGAAAUAGCCCUGAAGUAGGCUACUGUCACCAUUUUCUGUGUCAGUGGGAUUGACAAAGCUUCUAAUAGGUUCUAGUUGUUUCUCUGUAGAUAGGGUACUGAGUUUGUGUCUCGGAAUAUACUGUGUGCAAAGAUGAAUGAUCUGCAGCUUUGAUUUGAAUGACCCACUUACACUCACUGGUAAAACAUGGCAACCAGAGGAGGAGAGUGUAUUUAUCUGAUGCUCUUCACCAUUGGUUCAUAAUAGAUCCACCCCUUCCCCUUUAAAAGUCUAUGACUUUUACAGAAGAAGAGAAAGACCCAGAAGAGAGCUCGAGUAAAACUGGUAUCCUGGACAUUUGCUUAAUCAAGAAGACAUGGAAAGUGUACUAAAGUGGAUGGAGAAGCUGCUGUUUCUGCUGGUUCUGACCUAUGGUUGUUAUGGUGAACCUCAAGAUCUCUCAGGGAAAAAGUUCAUCAUCCCAGUCGAGACAAGCGACUCGUUUGUAAAACUCUCUGACAACGUCUUAAAGCCUGUUAUUGCUAUGACCAUGUGUCAGAGGUUCUUCACUGAGGUACAACGAGACCAGUCCCUUUUCUCUCUAGCAACCCCCUCUGAUUCCAAAGAUAUCAAUCUGUGUCUGCAAUCAAAGGGUGGGUAUAAACUGAAUAUCAGAGGAAAUUCUGUUACUAUCAACGGUUUGCCAGAAAAUAGAAAUGGAUGGAUCUCUUUUUGUGUCACGUGGGACUCUAAAACUGGUCUCACCCAGAUGUGGGCAAAUGGGAGACGAAGUGCAUCGAAGAUUCUUAAGCCAAAUGGCCCUAUAAAUGGAAAACCAAGUAUAAUCUUAGGUCAAAACCAAGGCAGUUAUGGUGGAGGUUUUGUAGCAUCACAAUCCUUUGUGGGGGAUGUUACUGAUGUACACUUCUGGGACAGUGUCAUCUCUCCUUGCCAAAUCAAAUUGUAUAUGCAAGGGAAAAACUUUACUCCAGGAAAUAUUCUCAACUGGAAAGCAUUGGAGUUCACUACUGGGGGAGGGGUGUUCAAGGAGAUAAGUGACUAUACCUGUUAGCAAUACAUUUGUACCCGGUAUUGUUCAUGUUUUACAAAUGAUGAUGACAGUAAUCAUAAUACAUUUUAUGUUCAUAGCAGCUUUCCCUUUAAAAGCUCUGUUACGAAUCAAUAUCCCAUAUUUUUAUGUUCCUGAGUACUCAUUUAAUAGAAAAGAAUAGUGCAAUAAAGUUUCAAUAAUUUCUCAUAAAUGUUUGUCUGUCUUUCAUUUAGCGUUUGUAUGCAGAUGACCUCUGAAAUAGUGUAAAGUGUUAUUUUCAGAGGAGAAUGAAACCGAAAAAGCAAGAUGUCUUUAUUGACAUUUUUCCAGUGUGUCUGUGUGCACAGGUCGUUGUGUAAACAGAGAUGAAUGACUUUGCUGGCCAAUUGCAACUACCAGGCAGAACCACAUGCAGCUCUGUAUUAGCGCUGGAGUUCAUGCACCUACGUGUUGGAACAACUUUCAUGCAACUAAAAACCCACAAGAAUAAACCAGCAGAUCAGUUGAUCUCAUGUUACCGUGUCAAGCUUUGAUUAGAGACAGCUGCGUCUAGGUUCUCUACUCCCGCUCCUUAUAGGCCUAGUCUGGUAAUCGAUCUAAAAAAAAGACUUAUUGUAAGAAUAUAGGAUUAUAUUUCAUACAAACAUGUAAUCUUAAAUAUCAAGAUAAUUAUAAUAUAAUUUGUGUCAUUUAUUUUAAAUAACUUGAUGAGACUACAAUUUCUUCGAAAGCCACCGUCCGCCAUAUUGGUAGCCUACUCCUCAUGUCCCCUAUACAGGGGCGCAACUUUGGUUUCAGAAGUGUUUACAUUUUUUAAUCCAGACGGAUAAACAUUCCAAACAGCCUACCCGACCGCUCGGUGGCGUCCGUAUGGUCAUAAAGCACACCGUUUCCUUGUUUUGUAUCAAAUUCCAUUGAUUAAACUGGGCAGGACAAUUUCAGAAUGUUAGGUGGAGCCCCCCCAUCCCCAGUGAAAGUUGCACCCCUGCAACUAUACACUGAGUGUACAAAACAUUAGGAACACCUGCUCUUUCCAUGACAUAGACUGACCAGGUGAAUCCAGGUCAAAGCUAUGGUCCCUUAUUGAUGUUAUCUGUUAAAAGCACUUCAAUCAGUGUAGCUGAAGGGGAGGAGACAGGUUAAAGAAGGAUUUUAUAGCCUUGAGACAAUUUAGACAUGGAUUGUGUAUGUGUGCCGUGCCAUGGCAUGGUAGUAGGUGCCCGGCGCACAUGUUUGAAUGUGUGGAUUUUUUUAUGCUCAACUGUUUCCCAUGUGUAUCAAGAAAGGUCCACCACCCAAAGGACAUCCAGCCAACUUGACAAAACUGUAGGAAGCAUUGGAGUCAACAUGGGCCAGCAUCCCUGUCGAACGCUUUAGUCAGCUUGCAGAUCCAUGCCCCCCCGAAAUGAGGCCGUUCUGAGUGCUAAAGGGGGUGCAACUCAAUAUUAGGAAGGUGUUCCUAAUGUUUUGUACACUCAGUGUAUAUCUGUGCAAUAAGUAGCGUAACAUAAAACCUGAAAUCAUGGCCAAUGUUUCACCUGUUGUGAAAUGAAAAAAAAGUCAAACUACUGCAUGUUUCUGCUCAUCUUUUGCACACAUGCAUGUGCUUUCCGCAAAUAAGCUUUUUUCAAAUAUUAAAGUUAUUGCAUAGCCUACGUGUUAUUCCUUUAUUACUGUACAUAGUAAAUUGUCAAAAAUGCUAAACGAUAUUUGACAAAAGACUUAAUAAGAGUACUUGAAAAGGACUGGCCAGGUGGUAACCUUCACUAUGUAGUGAGCUAGGCAUCCCAACAUUUGCACUGCUGCUUGCACUAAUUGACUUUCCGUUAUGGAUUUUUUUUCUUUGAAAUGUACAAAUAUUACAAAAUUGUACAACGAAUAUGUAUUAUUAUAACCCCAACCAACCAAUUAUUGUGACCCCAACCAACCUCACUACUCACUGGACCCUUAUGGUCACUCGGCUAAGCAUGCCUCUCAAUGUCAAUGUGCCUUGUCCAUUGCUGUUCUGGUUAGUGUUUAUUGGCUUAUUUCACUGUAGAGCCUCUAGCCCUGCUCAUUAAACCUUAUCCAACCUUUCAGUUCCACCACCCACUCAUGCGAUGACAUCACCUGGUUUCAAUGAUGUUUCUAGAGACAAUAUCUCUCUCAUCAUCACUCAAUGCCUAGGUUUACCUCCACUGUAUUCACAUCCUACCAUACCUUUGUCUGUACAUUAUACUUUGAAGCUAUUUUAUCGCCCCCAGAAACCUGCUCCUUUUACUCUCUGUUCCGGACGUCAUAGACGACCAAUUCUCAUAGCUUUUAGCCGUACCCUUAUCUUACUCCUCCUCUGGUGAUGUAGCUCAACUCCGAUUCCCCAGGCGCUCUCUUUUGAUGACUUCUGUAACCAUAAUAGCCUUGGUUUCAUGCAUGUUAACAUUAGAAGCCUCCUCCCUAAGUUUGUUUUAUUCACUGCUUUAGCACACUCUGCCAACCCGGAUGUCCUAGCCGUGUCUGAAUCCUGGCUUAGGAAGACCACCAAAAACUCUGAAAUCUCCAUCCCUAACUACAACAUUUUCAGACAAGAUAGAAUGGCCAAAGGGGGCGGUGUUGCAAUCUACUGCAGAGAUAGCCUGCAGAGUUCUGUCCUACUAUCCAGGUCUGUACCCAAACAAUUUGAACUUCUACUUUUAAAAAUCCACCUCUCUAAAAACAAGUCUCUCACCGUUGCUACCUGCUAUAGACCACCCUCUGCCCCCAGCUGUGCCCUGGACAACAUAUGUGAACUGAUUGCCCCCCCCAUCUAUCUUCAGAGCUCGUGCUGCUAGGUGACCUAAACUGGGACAUGCUUAACACCCUAGCCAUCCUACAAUCUAAGCUUGAUGCCCUCAAUCUCACACAAAUGAUCAAUGAACCUACCAGGUACCACCCCAAAGCCAUAAACACGCCCACCCUCAUAGAUAUCAUCUUAACCAACUUGCCCUCUAAAUACACCUCUGCUGUUUUCAACCAAGAUCUCAGCGAUCACUGCCUCAUUGCCUGCAUCCGUAAUGGGUCAGCGGUCAAACGACCUCCACUCAUCACUGUCAAACGCUCCCUGAAACACUUCAGCGAGCAGGCCUUUCUAAUCGACCUGGCCUGGAUAUCCUGGAAGGAUAUUGACCUCAUCUCGUCAGUAGAGGAUGCCUGGUUAUUUUUUUUAAAUGCCUUCCUCACCAUCUUAAAUAAGCAUGCCCCAUUCAAGAAAUUUAGAACCAGGAACAGAUAUUGCCCUUGGUUCUCUCCAGACCUGACUGCCCUUAACCAACACAUAAAAAUCCUGUGGCGUUCUGCAUUAGCAUCGAACAGCCCCCGUGAUAUGCAACUUCUCAGGGAAGUUAGAAACCAAAAUACACAGGCAGUUAGAAAAGCCAAGGGUAUCUUUUUCAAGCAGAAAUUUACUUCCUGCAACACAAACUCAAAAAAGUUCUGGGACACUGUAAAGUCCGAGGAGAAUAUGAACACCUCCUCCCAGCUGCCCACUGCACUAAGGAUAGGAAACUCGGUCACCACCGAUAAAUCCACUAUAACUGAGAAUUUCAAUAAGCAUUUUUCUACGGCUGGCCAUGCUUUCCACCUGGCUAUGCCUACCCUGGUCAACAGCACUGCACCCCCCACAGCAACUCGCCCAAGCCUUCCCCAUUUCUCCUUCUCCCAAAUCCAGUCAGCUGAUGUUCUGAAAGAGCUGCAAAAUCUGGACCCCUACAAAUCAGCCGGGCUAGACAAUCUGAACCCUUUCUUUCUAAAAUGAUCUGCCGAAAUUGUUGCAACCCCUAUUACUAGCCUGUUCAACCUCUCUUUUGUGUCGUCUGAGAUUCCCAAAGAUUAGAAAGCAGCUGCGGUCAUCCCCCUCUUCAAAGGAGAGGACAUUCUUGACCCAAACUGCUACAGACCUAUAUCUAUCCUACCCUGCCUUUCUAAGGUCUUCGAAAGCCAAGUCAACAAACAGAUUACCGACCAUUUCGAAUCCCACCGCACCUUCUCCGCUAUGCAAUCUGGUUUCAGAGCUGGUCAUGGGUGCACCUCAGCCACGCUCAAGGUCCUAAACGAUAUCUUAACCUCCAUCGAUAUGAAACAAUACUGUGCAGCCGUAUUCAUUGACCUGGCCAAGGCUUUCGACUCUGUCAAUCACCACAUCCUCAUCGGCAGACUCAAUAGCCUUGGUUUCUCAAAUGAUUGCCUCGCCUGAUUCACCAACUACUUCUCUGAUAGAGUUCAGUGUGUCAAAUCGUAUGGCCUGUUGUCCGGGCCUCUGGCAGUCUCUAUGGGGGUGCCACAGGGUUAAAUUCUUGGGCCGACUCUCUUCUCUGUAUACAUCAAUGAUGUCGCUCUUGUUGCUGGUGAGUCUCUGAUCCACCUCUACGCAGACGACACCAUUCUGUAUACUUCUGGCCCAUCUUUGGACACUGUGUUAACAACCCUCCAGACGAGCUUCAAUGCCAUACAACUCUCCUUCCGUGGCCUCCAACUGCUCUUAAAUACAAGUAAAACUAAAUGCAUGCUCUUCAACCGAUCGCUGCCUGUACCUGCCCGCCCAUCCAGCAUCACUACUCUGGACGGUUCUGACUUAGAAUAUGUGGACAACUACAAAUACCUAGGUGUCUGGUUAGACUGUAAACUCUCCUUCCAGACUCACAUCAAACAUCUCCAAUCCAAAGUGAAAUCUAGAAUUGGCUUCCUAUUUCGCAACAAUGCAUCCUUCACUCAUGCUGCCAAACAUACCCUCGUAAAACUGACCAUCCUACCGAUCCUCGACUUCGGCGAUGUCAUUUACAAAAUAGCCUCCAAUACCCUACUCAAUAAAUUGGAUGCAGUCUAUCACAGUGCCAUCCGUUUUGUCACCAAAACCCCAUAUACUUCCCACCACUGCGACCUGUACGCUCUCGUUGGCUGGCCCUUGCUUCAUACUCGUCGCCAAACCCACUGGCUCCAGGUCAUCUACAAGACCCUGCUAGGUAAAGUCCCCCCUUAUCUCAGCUCGCUGGUCACCAUAGCAGCACCCACCUGUAGCACGCACUCCAGCAGGUAAUUUCUCUCUGGUCACCCCCAUAGCCAAUUCCUCCUUUGGCCGCCUCUCCUUCCAGUUCUCUGCUGCCAAUGACUGGAACGAACUACAAAAAUCUCUGAAACUGAAAACACUUAUCUCCCUCACUAGCUUUAAGCACCAGCUGUCAGAGCAGCUCACAGAUCACUGUACCUGUACAUAGCCCAUCUAUAAUUUAGCCCAAACAACUACCUCUUCCCCUACUGUAUUUAUUUUGCUCCUUUGCACCCCAUUAUUUAUAUUUUUACUUUGCACUUUCUUCCACUGCAAAUCUAUUUGUUCUUGUAGUUUGGUCAGGACGUGGCAGGGGGUAUUUGUUUUAUGUGGUUCAGGGUGUGUUUGUGUAUGUGUUCAUGUAGAGGGGGUAUUUGGUUUAUAUGGUUCGGGGUGGUUAUGUAUGUAGAGGGGUAUUUGAUUUAUUAGUCGAGGGUUUUGGUUAUCGUUCUAUGUUAGUUUUUCUAUGUUCUGUCUAGGUGUUUGUAUUUCUAUGUUUUGGUAAUGGGGAUUGGGGCCUUCAAUUGGAGGCAGCUGUCUAUCGUUGCCUCUGAUUGAAGGUCCUAUAUUUAGGAGUGUGUUUGUCAUGGGAUUUUGUGGGAAAUUGUUGCUGUGUAUUGCUUUGUGCCUUACCGGUCUGUUCUUUGUCUUGUUUUUUGUAUACGUGUUUGUUUUGGUUUUCCUUCUUUGUCCUUUAAUAAAAGAAGAUGAGUAUACAUUUUCCCGCUGCGUUUUGGUCUAAAGCCCUACGACACCGUGACAGAAUCUCCCACCAAACACGGACCAAGCAGCAGAGGAGGGAGCAGCAACAGAGCCCAGUGGAAUCAUGGACAUGGGAGGAAAUUCUGGACGGGGCUGGACCAUGGCACCAGGCUGGGGAACAUCGUCGCCCACCGGAGGAGAUAGAGGCAGCCAGUUUGUUCAGUUUGCUUCCGUUUAAGAAAUGUUUUUCAACAGAAUAAAUACACCCCUGAUCACGUGUGAACACACAGCCAAGUUGUACUCGUUCUCGCGUCUUUGCGCUCUCGUCCUCUCCUUUUCCCUUCGCUUGUGGAAUUCAAUGCACAACACAUCAGCUGUAUGUGACCAGGCUAAAAAACCUUUCCAAGCCACAGCCUACAUCGUUGUCAUCAUAUUAGCUAAAGUAAUGUCCUAGUCAACAUAGCUAAUAGAACUAAUGCAUUAGUAAACCCACUACAAUCAUGCAGUUACAUCGGCGGGCCAGGUGGCAAUACAUUUGUAAAAACAAAAGCUUACCUUGACUUGGAAGAGUUCCAGUGUUGUGGUGGAUAGUCAUAGCCAGCUAGCUAACAUAGCAUCCCUCUGUUUGAGCAGGGUGUUUCAGUAGGCUAUACUAGCUAAGUAAGUGAAACUGAAAGUGAAAAAAAACGACAAUCUCUAUAUAGAUUUCUCUCUUGCUUCUCCUUCAUUUUGGAGUAAAUUAAUUAGUUCAAAAUUGUUCAAUUAUUCUUUUUCUCUCUCUUUGAGUCAACUACUCACUACAUUUUAUGCCCUGCAGUGCUAGCAAGCUGCUUUCAUUACUAGAUUCAUUUUCUGAUCCUUUGAUUGGGUGGACAUAUCAGUUGAUGCUGCAAGAGCUCUGAUAGGUUGGAGGACGUCCUCGGAAGUUGUCAUAAUUACUGUGAAAGUCUAUGGAAGUGAGUGAGAUCCAUGAGCCUCCUAGGUUUUGUAUUGAAGUCAAUGUACCCAGAGGAGGACGGAAGCUAGCUGUCCUUCGGCUACACCAUGGUGCUACCCUACAGAGUGCUGUUGAGGCUACUGUAGACCUUUGCAAAUUGUGUGUUUUAAUCGAUUAUUUGGUGGCAUGAUUAUAUUUAGUGUAGUUUUAUCUAAAAAUGAUCACUUUUAAAUGUUUUAAAUUAUACUUUUAUGAUUUCAGUGAGGAGGAUGGUCCUCCCCGUCCUCCUCUGAGGAGCCUCCACUGAUGACAACAUGGUGCGAUCCACUCGACUGCCUUCAUCAUACAAGCCCAAGUCACGUAACCUUAUCCAAAUACUACUUGGGUGGUGGGAUGGCUCACCACUGCCAUCUGCUGUAUCGUAACUAAACUGCUCCAUGGCACACCAUAAUGCUUUGGAAUGUG
RNAcentral lists this long non-coding RNA (12740 nucleotides) under Salmo salar (Atlantic salmon). RNAcentral describes it as "lncRNA (ENSSSAG00000088938.1)". Lineage: Eukaryota; Metazoa; Chordata; Actinopteri; Salmoniformes; Salmonidae. The record is from RNAcentral.